UGCAGGAGGGGGCUUGCUCCCGAUUGCGGUGGUUCAGUUGGCGUGUUUUUAACUGGCGCCCCGCUAUCGGGAGCAAGCCCCCUCCCACA
RNAcentral lists this unclassified non-coding RNA (89 nucleotides) under Pseudomonas trivialis. The record is from RNAcentral. Lineage: Bacteria; Pseudomonadati; Pseudomonadota; Gammaproteobacteria; Pseudomonadales; Pseudomonadaceae.